GACAGAGGAGGCUAGCGUUGUUCGGAAUUACUGGGCUUAAAGCGCGUGUAGGCGGCUCGGUCAGUGCCUUGUGAAAUCCCACGGCUUAACCGUGGAACGGCUGGGCAUACUGCCGGGCUUGAGGCAGGUAGGGGUCACUGGAACUCUAGGUGGAGCGGUGAAAUGCGUAGAUAUCUAGAGGAACGCCCGAGGCGAAAGCGGGUGACUGGGCCUGUCCUGACGCUGAGACGCGAAAGCGUGGGGAGCAAACGGG
Molecule: ribosomal RNA, 253 nt
Filed under: uncultured bacterium
Lineage: Bacteria
Description: partial 16S ribosomal RNA
Rfam family: Bacterial small subunit ribosomal RNA
Source: RNAcentral